UACGUAGGGCGCAAGCGUUAUCCGGAAUUAUUGGGCGUAAGGAGCUCGUAGGCGGUUUGUCGCGUCUGCCGUGAAAGUCCGGGGCUCAACUCCGGAUCUGCGGUGGGUACAGGCAGACUAGAGUGAUGUAGGGGAGACUGGAAUUCCUGGUGUAGCGGUGAAAUGCGCAGAUAUCAGGAGGAACACCGAUGGCGAAGGCAGGUCUCUGGGCAUUAACUGACGCUGAGGAGCGAAAGCAUGGGGAGCGAACAGG
This 253-nucleotide ribosomal RNA is filed under the name uncultured bacterium. RNAcentral describes it as "partial 16S ribosomal RNA". It matches the Rfam family "Bacterial small subunit ribosomal RNA", at positions 524 to 776 of the family's 1533-position model. The record is from RNAcentral.